UGGUGUACGCCUAUAUCCCAC
Caenorhabditis elegans is the source of this 21-nucleotide non-coding RNA. The record is from Ensembl. NCBI's taxonomy places the organism in Eukaryota, Metazoa, Nematoda, Chromadorea, Rhabditida, Rhabditidae.